Molecule: ribosomal RNA, 1677 nt
Filed under: Pseudoalteromonas carrageenovora
Lineage: Bacteria; Pseudomonadati; Pseudomonadota; Gammaproteobacteria; Alteromonadales; Pseudoalteromonadaceae
Description: partial 23S ribosomal RNA
Rfam family: Bacterial large subunit ribosomal RNA
Source: RNAcentral
UGCUGGAGGUAUCAGAAGUGCGAAUGCUGACAUGAGUAACGAUAAUGCGGGUGAAAAACCCGCACGCCGGAAGACCAAGGGUUCCUAUCCCAUGUUAAUCAGGGUAGGGUAAGUCGACCCCUAAGGCGAGGCCGAAAGGCGUAGUCGAUGGGAAACGGAUUAAUAUUUCCGUACUUGGUAUAAUUGCGAUGGGGGGACGGAGAAGGCUAAGCAAGCAUGGCGAUGGUUGUCCAUGUGAAAGUGAGUAGGGCGUUUGUUUAGGUAAAUCCGGACGAACAUUAAACCUGAGACACGAGACGAGUCACCAAGGUGAUGAAGUUGUUGAUGCCAUACUUCCAGGAAAAGCCUCUAAGCUUCAGAUUAUACCGAAUCGUACCCCAAACCGACACAGGUGGUCAGGUAGAGAAUACUAAGGCGCUUGAGAGAACUCGGGUGAAGGAACUAGGCAAAAUCGUACCGUAACUUCGGGAGAAGGUACGCUCCUAUCUGUGAUGAGACUUGCUCUCUAAGCGGACGGGAGCCGCAGUGACCAGGUGGCUGGGACUGUUUAUUAAAAACACAGCACUGUGCAAAAUCGCAAGAUGACGUAUACGGUGUGACACCUGCCCGGUGCCGGAAGGUUAAUUGAUGGGGUUAUCCUUAGGGAGAAGCUCUUGAUCGAAGCCCCGGUAAACGGCGGCCGUAACUAUAACGGUCCUAAGGUAGCGAAAUUCCUUGUCGGGUAAGUUCCGACCUGCACGAAUGGUGUAACCAUGGCCACGCUGUCUCCACCCGAGACUCAGUGAAAUUGAAAUCGCAGUGAAGAUGCUGUGUACCCGCGGCUAGACGGAAAGACCCCGUGAACCUUUACUACAGCUUGGCACUGAACAUUGAACCUACAUGUGUAGGAUAGGUGGGAGACUUUGAAGCAGAGACGCUAGUUUUUGUGGAGUCGUCCUUGAAAUACCACCCUUGUAGUUUUGAUGUUCUAACGUUGGCCCCUGAAUCGGGGUUACGGACAGUGCCUGGUGGGUAGUUUGACUGGGGCGGUCUCCUCCCAAAGAGUAACGGAGGAGCACGAAGGUUGGCUAAGUACGGUCGGACAUCGUACGGUUAGUGUAAUGGUAGAAGCCAGCUUAACUGCGAGACAGACACGUCGAGCAGGUACGAAAGUAGGUCAUAGUGAUCCGGUGGUUCUGAAUGGAAGGGCCAUCGCUCAACGGAUAAAAGGUACUCCGGGGAUAACAGGCUGAUACCGCCCAAGAGUUCAUAUCGACGGCGGUGUUUGGCACCUCGAUGUCGGCUCAUCACAUCCUGGGGCUGAAGUCGGUCCCAAGGGUAUGGCUGUUCGCCAUUUAAAGUGGUACGCGAGCUGGGUUUAGAACGUCGUGAGACAGUUCGGUCCCUAUCUGCCGUGGGCGUUUGAGAAUUGAGAGGGGUUGCUCCUAGUACGAGAGGACCGGAGUGAACGAACCGCUGGUGUUCGGGUUGUCAUGCCAAUGGCAUUGCCCGGUAGCUACGUUCGGAACUGAUAAGCGCUGAAAGCAUCUAAGCGCGAAGCAGGCCUCGAGAUGAUUUCUCACUAGACUUUUAAAGUCUCUGAAGGGCCGUUGAAGACUACAACGUUGAUAGGCAAGAUGUGGAAGUGGUGUGAGCCAUUAAGCUAACUUGUACUAAUUACCCGUGAGGCUUAACCAU